This 380-nucleotide ribosomal RNA is filed under the name Leptomantis cyanopunctatus (blue-spotted bushfrog). Its description in RNAcentral is "partial 12S ribosomal RNA". It matches the Rfam family "Bacterial small subunit ribosomal RNA", at positions 794 to 1384 of the family's 1533-position model. The record is from RNAcentral. Lineage: Eukaryota; Metazoa; Chordata; Amphibia; Anura; Rhacophoridae.
GCCAAACCGUAAAAUUUAACUUACACUAAAAACGCCAGGGGACUACGAGCUUAGCUUAAAACCCAAAGGACUUGACGGUGUCCCACCCCCUACUAGAGGAGCCUGUUCUAUAAUCGAUGAUCCACGAUAUACCAAACCAUUUUUUGCCUUUCAGCCUGUAUACCUCCGUCGUAAGCUUACCAUAUGAAUGUAAAACAGUAGGCUCAAGGACCAACCCGUCAUAACGUCAGGUCAAGGUGCAGCUUAUAAAAUGGAAGUGAUGAGCUACAAUUUCUAAUUUAGAACAAACGAAUUAACUACUUGAAAUACAGUUAUGAAGGUGGAUUUAGCAGUAAGUAGGAAAUAGAGAGUCCCACUUAAAUAUCGGCCCUGGGAUGCGU